Molecule: ribosomal RNA, 608 nt
Filed under: Kocuria sp.
Lineage: Bacteria; Bacillati; Actinomycetota; Actinomycetes; Micrococcales; Micrococcaceae
Description: bacterial SSU rRNA
Rfam family: Bacterial small subunit ribosomal RNA
Source: RNAcentral
GCAGCGACGCCGCGUGAGGGAUGACGGCCUUCGGGUUGUAAACCUCUUUCAGUAGGGAAGAAGCGAGAGUGACGGUACCUGCAGAAGAAGCGCCGGCUAACUACGUGCCAGCAGCCGCGGUAAUACGUAGGGCGCAAGCGUUGUCCGGAAUUAUUGGGCGUAAAGAGCUCGUAGGCGGUUUGUCGCGUCUGCUGUGAAAGCCCGGGGCUCAACCCCGGGUCUGCAGUGGGUACGGGCAGACUAGAGUGCAGUAGGGGAGACUGGAAUUCCUGGUGUAGCGGUGAAAUGCGCAGAUAUCAGGAGGAACACCGAUGGCGAAGGCAGGUCUCUGGGCUGUUACUGACGCUGAGGAGCGAAAGCAUGGGGAGCGAACAGGAUUAGAUACCCUGGUAGUCCAUGCCGUAAACGUUGGGCACUAGGUGUGGGGGACAUUCCACGUUUUCCGCGCCGUAGCUAACGCAUUAAGUGCCCCGCCUGGGGAGUACGGCCGCAAGGCUAAAACUCAAAGGAAUUGACGGGGGCCCGCACAAGCGGCGGAGCAUGCGGAUUAAUUCGAUGCAACGCGAAGAACCUUACCAAGGCUUGACAUCACCGGACCGCCCCAGAGA